Long non-coding RNA from Pezoporus flaviventris, 1410 nucleotides. RefSeq lists it as uncharacterized. The record is from RefSeq and is a predicted model, not a curated record. The transcript has 3 exons. NCBI's taxonomy places the organism in Eukaryota, Metazoa, Chordata, Aves, Psittaciformes, Psittacidae.
CAUACAAAUGUAUUAAAUUAUACUGAUUAGCUAAAUAUCUUCCAAGAACGCCAAGCAAACGUCGUAACACAAGAGCUACAAGCACUGAGCCUUCAAUAUCACAUCAGGAAACUCUAAGCAAUGAAGGCAUUUUCUCCUUUGUGCUCUCCAGGUUUCCAAAUACCACAUGCUUCCACAAUGACCCAGAGGAGGAUCAUGAAUUGGUUCUUAAUCAUAUUUGUCAUUCAGAAAGUGGUCCUUGACAGCCUUUAGAGAUGCCAGAGAGCACCUCUAGCACCACAAGCUCUUGGUGGGCUUCAGGGUUCACAUCAAGGGAGUAAUGGCAGUUUCCACCAGGCAGGAGCUGCCCCUUUGGGAUCCCAGUGGUGUUCUGCAGCCCUUUGCAGCACUAGGGGCAUGCACAAAGACAACAAGCAAUGGGUGGGAUCUAAAAACAGCAACGCAUUUUGUGCUACUAAUACCAAGACCUGGAUUCCAGAUGAGGGUGCAGGGUGAUGAAGCAUGCAGUUCAUACUGACAGCGACAACCUGCCUUCACUCAAACCCUGACAGAGCCCAGAGCACAGGGGCUGUUUGCACAUCUCUGCUCCAGGGUUGCUCCAGGGUAGUUGCAGCCCAAGGUAGCUGAGGUAUAGUUCAGCUGCAACCCAGCUCUCUCCUGCAUAGGCAGCAUUUUUGGUGUUUGCUCUUUGAAAGCAGUACUACUGCUUCUGUGUUGUCACUCGUGUCACGGCAUGUGCUGCAUCCCACCAAAGCACUGUGACCAGGGGUUGCUGCAGCUGCCGUAUCCCAGUUACGGAGUGCUCAGGUUGUCUCCGCUCUAACCCACCAGCAGAGGACACGGGGAAGUUAUUUUGUGUGCCUACGCAGAGUUAGUUUAGCUGAGAGAGGGACGUGGCACUGAGGCAUAAAUCUAUUAACUCUAAGCAAACAAAGAGCAGCUGAAGGCUGCAGGCAGUACCAAAAUGAGCCCACCUGGGGCCUGCUUUCAGCUCCUUAGCUGCUUUCUGCAUUUUAAAAAGGAAGAGAUUUAAAGCACAGUGCAAAUCCAAAAAGUGCUGAAAAGUGGUUUGAAUUACUCACAGGAGGAGCCACCUGCGGGGGAAGAUGUGUUUCAUGCAGGCAAGCUGAAAUGCAAUUUCCCCCUGUGAGGGAAAGGUGAUGGUCAGUGAAGCAGAUGGAUACCGGAAGACACACGGCUAUUGCUCUGAGAUGCGCUCAGAGGUGGCACUGCUUCCUUGGGCAGGCCCUGGAGUUAGGACCAAGGAGGAUGCCAGCUGAUGGCUGGAUCCUGUGGAGUUGGCACAAGGCUGCUGUGUGUGUUGGUCCUGCAGUGGGGCUGCCCUGUGGUCUCAGAGGCUGGCUGAAAACUUCGAUACAAGGACAGAAAGUAAAAAAUAAAGAAAUUAAA